UCUAAUAUGGCAGAUUAGUGCGCUGGAUUUAAAUCCCAACUAUAAAGAUUUUUCUUUUCUUAGAA
RNAcentral lists this transfer RNA (65 nucleotides) under Plateumaris sericea. RNAcentral's name for it is "tRNA-Leu". Lineage: Eukaryota; Metazoa; Arthropoda; Insecta; Coleoptera; Chrysomelidae. The record is from RNAcentral.